This 70-nucleotide transfer RNA is filed under the name Marmota monax (woodchuck). RNAcentral's name for it is "tRNA.Ala". Lineage: Eukaryota; Metazoa; Chordata; Mammalia; Rodentia; Sciuridae. The record is from RNAcentral.
GGGGCUGUAGCUCGGUGGUAGAGCUUCGCCCAGCACGUGAGCGGCCCUGGGUUCCAUCCUCAGCACCACA